This 99-nucleotide small nuclear RNA is filed under the name Peromyscus maniculatus bairdii (prairie deer mouse). The record is from RNAcentral. Lineage: Eukaryota; Metazoa; Chordata; Mammalia; Rodentia; Cricetidae.
GCAAUGUUCAGCAGUACAUGCACCAAAAUUGGAACAUGGAGAUGAGCAUGACCCCUGAGCAAGAAUGACAAGCGAAUUUGUGAGGCGUUUGGUAUUUUU